This is a long non-coding RNA of Pogoniulus pusillus (Red-fronted tinkerbird), 1103 nucleotides long. RefSeq lists it as uncharacterized. The record is from RefSeq and is a predicted model, not a curated record. The transcript is spliced from 3 exons. NCBI's taxonomy places the organism in Eukaryota, Metazoa, Chordata, Aves, Piciformes, Lybiidae.
CAACUGGGCAGAGGGAUCCUCCUCCUGCUGCCAUCACUGCAGGGGAAAAAAGAAAAUCAUUUCCCCUGGGAGAUAACAGAGUAAGAGCUUUAACUGAACAGCAGCUCUGGGAAAACUGCUCUUACAGGCUCACUCAAGCAGAAUGGUCCUGCAGCUCUGCAUUGGCUGGCACCAGCAGCCACCUGGUUGCACCUGGAGAUGUUGCUGCCUACACCCUCUCCUAAUGCCAGAGACAAGCCCCCACUGCUGCAAGAGGAUGACAGCCUGAAUGUAUUUAACUCUUAAAGAGAGAAAGAGGAGGAGUGCAGCAUGACUCUCAAGCACAGGUGUAAGCAGAGCUCUCCUCUGCAGAGAUGAAAUACCCAGAGCAGACAUAGACCGGUUCCUGAAGGAGAGCAGGAGUGCAUUGCCUGAAGGCUGAACUGAAUUGUAACAUGGUGUGAUCUUGCCAAGAUGGCUAGGUAAAGCAUCCCAUGCAGCACCCUAAUUUCUUACACUUUUAUCACUACGAAAUCAUAUUGUUGAAGCUGAUGGGCACUGCCAUCCCAGGUGGCUUGCAUCUUGUAAUGUUUUUUUAUUUUACUUUGCUGGAACAGCAGGUCACAAGAACUUGGUCCAAGGCAAUUUCAUGCUUCUUAAGUAGGGCCAAACUCUGUUGGAUUUGUAGUGCUCCAAGCUCAAAGUAUCCACAGUGAAGGCUUCUGCCCUCUAAUCUUUUUGCGCUCAAAGCAUUUCUUAUCUGUCUUUGACCUCUGAUCCCCUUGGUAUCUCUGGCUUUUGCAGGCAGCUAGUUGCCCUCCAGUGUGAAACCUUUCCUGUCUCUCUCACAGAUGGCAGGGAGGCAGUGGAUAUAAAGUCUUGCACUCCACAGCAAGCAUGGCUGCUCCCCUGCCCCACUGCAUCCAUUGCCCCACAAGUACCCUCUUGGGUACCUUCAUUGGAAACAGGAAGAGCAUUCAUAUAACAGCACUUCCCAACUCUUCCACCUGGAUCUCCUUUCAAUAAAAACCUUGUAAGUCUCCAAGUACGUUAUGAAGCAGUCUGAAUAUUAUUAUUUCCUCCAUACAGCUGGGGAAACUAUAGCUCAGAUGCUUGCUAAAAGU